UACGUAGGGUGCGAGCGUUGUCCGGAAUUAUUGGGCGUAAAGGGCUCGUAGGCGGUCUGUCGCGUCGGGAGUGAAAACUCAGGGCUUAACCCUGAGCCUGCUUCCGAUACGGGCAGACUAGAGGUAUGCAGGGGAGAACGGAAUUCCUGGUGUAGCGGUGAAAUGCGCAGAUAUCAGGAGGAACACCGGUGGCGAAGGCGGUUCUCUGGGCAUUACCUGACGCUGAGGAGCGAAAGUGUGGGGAGCGAACAGGAUUAGAAACCCCCGUAGUCC
This 273-nucleotide ribosomal RNA is filed under the name uncultured bacterium. Its description in RNAcentral is "partial 16S ribosomal RNA". It matches the Rfam family "Bacterial small subunit ribosomal RNA", at positions 524 to 796 of the family's 1533-position model. The record is from RNAcentral.